This 438-nucleotide ribosomal RNA is filed under the name uncultured bacterium. RNAcentral describes it as "bacterial SSU rRNA". It matches the Rfam family "Bacterial small subunit ribosomal RNA", at positions 30 to 469 of the family's 1533-position model. The record is from RNAcentral.
AUUGAACGCUGGCGGCAUGCCUUACACAUGCAAGUCGAACGGCAGCGGACCUUCGGGUGCCGGCGAGUGGCGAACGGGUGAGUAAUAUAUCGGAACGUACCUUUCAGUGGGGGAUAACGUAGCGAAAGUUACGCUAAUACCGCAUAUUCUGUGAGCAGGAAAGCAGGGGAUCGCAAGACCUUGCGCUGAUUGAGCGGCCGAUAUCAGAUUAGCUAGUUGGUGAGGUAAAGGCUCACCAAGGCGACGAUCUGUAGCGGGUCUGAGAGGAUGAUCCGCCACACUGGAACUGAGGCACGGUCCAGACUCCUACGGGAGGCAGCAGUGGGGAAUUUUGGACAAGGGGGGCAACCCUGAUCCAGCCAUUCCGCGUGAGUGAAGAAGGCCUUCGGUUGUAAGACGUCUUCUAGUCAGGACGAAACGGUAGGUCCGUAACUACGG